UCCCCGUUACCGGGGCAGUCUAGCCAGAGAAAUCCAACUGGCUACAAGGGUUGCGCUCGUUAAUGGACUUAACCAAACAUCUCACGACACGAGCUGACGACGGCCAUGCAACACCUGUCACUUGGUCCAAUAAAGUACUCUCUCCUUUCGGAGAAAUUCCAAGGAUGUCAAACCUGGGUAAGGUUCUUCGCUUACCAUCGAAUUAAACAACACGCUCCACCGCUUGUGCGGGUCCCCGUCAAUUCCUUUAUGUUUUAGCCUUGCGGCCGUACUCCACAGGCGGGAUGCUCAACGCGUUAGCUUCGCUACUACGCGGGUCGAUACGCAUAACAGCUAGCAUCCAUAGUUUACGGCGUGGACUAC
Molecule: unclassified non-coding RNA, 363 nt
Filed under: uncultured bacterium
Lineage: Bacteria
Description: contains 16S-23S intergenic spacer region
Source: RNAcentral